UAAUCACAUCAAGAGAGGGUGAAAGCCCCGCCAACCAGCCUAAUCGGGCAACGGUGGUCUUAAGAUGCGACCCUUAGGGUAACAAUUCGAUUAAGG
RNAcentral lists this non-coding RNA (96 nucleotides) under unclassified sequences. RNAcentral describes it as "SAM-I-IV sequence". It matches the Rfam family "SAM-I/IV (S-adenosyl methionine) riboswitch aptamer". Rfam says of the family: It is found upstream of a number of genes which code for proteins involved in methionine or cysteine biosynthesis. The record is from Rfam by way of RNAcentral.